RNAcentral lists this transfer RNA (74 nucleotides) under Bacteroidales bacterium. Its description in RNAcentral is "tRNA-Thr". It matches the Rfam family "tRNA". Rfam says of the family: Transfer RNA (tRNA) molecules are approximately 80 nucleotides in length. Their secondary structure includes four short double-helical elements and three loops (D, anti-codon, and T loops). Lineage: Bacteria; Pseudomonadati; Bacteroidota; Bacteroidia; Bacteroidales. The record is from RNAcentral.
GCCGAUGUAGCUCAGUUGGUCAGAGCAGCUGAUUUGUAAUCAGCGGGUCGGGGGUUCGAAUCCCUCUAUCGGCU